UAGUCAUCUGAAAAUGGUGAGGCUGGCGGCAGCAGCAAAUUAGAAAAGAUCUGAAUAACAGAUCUCAAAACGCUACAUUCCGCCAAAUAUGACGGUGUGACCCGGGUUUAUUUUUGCAAACCUUCAUAAAAAGGGAGCUGACAAGUUUAGAGAAUAAACAAACUUUAUUUUAUAACAGUAUUACAGAAAGCAAAAUAUCAUUUAAUACAACUUGAAGCUGCUAGGUAGCUAAUCUUGGCAUUCUAAUUAUACACAGGGGCAAAGCAAGGGAAAGAAUGUUCAAUACAGUUAAUAAGUCCCUAGCAGGUUAUCUGGUGUCAGCUUUAAACGGCACAGUUUUCUUACAACCGUCACAAACACCGCCAUAGCCUUCCUCCUCUCCUGGCCUCCUCACCCCUGCAUGAAUCAUCACACUACCUGAAAGUGAUACACCUGCUCAAUAACAAAAAAGGUCAGUUUCACAUGGAGACAGGAGGUUUAACACAAAGCAAGUGCUCUACACGAGGGUUCAAAUAAUGGAAAGUAUUGAAAUUUGGACAUGUUAAGAAAGAAAGCACUAAGGUUUUAAGCUGCCUGAAUGUUUUAGCGAGAGGGAAGAGAUGUUUUUCUCCCCCUCCGGUGGCUGGAGUGCUGCUGAAGAGCCUGUGUCUGAGAAGCAUCGGCACUGUGGUGCGACAGGGUCUCUAGCACAGUGCGUGGUCAGUGAACUUCUGCGUAGUCACAGAGUUUCCUUUCCGCACAACAGCACCUGUUCAAGCGAACAGCACCUUACCAGCUUGGGCUGGCUUUGUUCACUAUCAUUUGAUCAAAAUGAGUUGUAAAAAGCAGGUAGUUGUACACAAAGUAAAGAGAAAACAAAAACAAAACUAUCAGAAAAAAAAAAGAAAGAAUCAAGAAUAUUUAGGAGUGGUUAUAAAACAAAACAAUAUAUUAAAAUGCGUGGGAAUGGUAUAGACCAGAGCUGUUAAGGUAAGGUUUGGUGUUGGCAUUUUAAUUCUUCAGGCUUCUGGCCAUUGUUAACAGUCAUAUAAAUUUGCUGGAGCAGUGGUGGCAUUAAGACUUGGAAUGGUCAAAAUUCUUCUGGUUCACAAAGUUGAAUGUUGUGGUCUAAAAAGAGGAUAUCUAAGAGGACAAAAAAAGACAAAAAAGAUAAAGCUUAGGACAAAGGCUUGGAGGAGAAACGUUAAGAUUCAUCAAAU
Molecule: long non-coding RNA, 1199 nt
Filed under: Sus scrofa (pig)
Lineage: Eukaryota; Metazoa; Chordata; Mammalia; Artiodactyla; Suidae
Description: lncRNA (ENSSSCG00060054009.1)
Source: RNAcentral